Molecule: ribosomal RNA, 497 nt
Filed under: uncultured Glomeromycotina
Lineage: Eukaryota; Fungi; Glomeromycota
Description: partial small subunit ribosomal RNA
Rfam family: Eukaryotic small subunit ribosomal RNA
Source: RNAcentral
CCAAUAGCGUAUAUUAAAGUUGUUGCAGUUAAAAAGCUCGUAGUUGAAUUUCAGGCCUGGCUGGGCGGUCCGCCUUUUGGGUGAGUACUGCCUGUGGUCGGGUCCUACCUUCUGGCGAAGCGUCAUGGCCUUAACCGGCCGUGGCGGGGAACCAGGACUUUUACUGUGUAAAAAUUAGAGUGUUCAAAGCAGGCAUUCGCUUGCAUACAUUAGCAUGGAAUAAUGGAAUAGGACAGUGGUUCUAUUUGUUGGUUUCUAGGACCGUUGUAAUGAUUAAUAGGGAUAGUUGGGGGCAUUAGUAUUCAAUUGUCAGAGGUGAAAUUCUUGGAUUUAUUGAAGACUAACUACUGCGAAAGCAUUUGCCAAGGAUGUUUUCAUUAAUCAAGAACGAAAGUUAGGGGAUCGAAGACGAUCAGAUACCGUCGUAGUCUUAACCAUAAACUAUGCCGACUAGGAAUCGGGCGAUGUUGACAAAAUGACGCGCUCGGCACCUCAUG